AACGAACGCUGGCGGCAUGUCUAACACAUGCAAGUCGAACGAGACCUUCGGGUCUAGUGGCGCACGGGUGCGUAACGCGUGGGAACCUGCCCUUAGGUUCGGAAUAACUCCCCGAAAGGGGUGCUAAUACCGGAUAAUGUCUUCGGACCAAAGAUUUAUCGCCCUUGGAUGGGCCCGCGUUGGAUUAGCUUGUUGGUAGGGGAAAAGCCUACCACGGCGAGGAUCCAUAGCUGGUCUGAGAGGCUGAUCAGCCACACUGGGACUGAGACGCGGCCCAGACUCCUACGGGAGGCAGCAGUGGGGAAUAUUGGACAAUGGGCGGAAGCCUGAUCCAGCAAUGCCGCGUGAGUGAUGAAGGCCUUAGGGUUGUAAAGCUCUUUUACCCGGGAUGAUAAUGACAGUACCGGGAGAAUAAGCACCGGCUAACUCCGUG
Molecule: ribosomal RNA, 433 nt
Filed under: uncultured bacterium
Lineage: Bacteria
Description: partial 16S ribosomal RNA
Rfam family: Bacterial small subunit ribosomal RNA
Source: RNAcentral